Molecule: ribosomal RNA, 485 nt
Filed under: Dicrateria rotunda
Lineage: Eukaryota; Haptophyta; Isochrysidales; Isochrysidaceae
Description: SSU rRNA
Rfam family: Eukaryotic small subunit ribosomal RNA
Source: RNAcentral
GCGUGGAGACGGAUCGUUUACUUUGAAAAAAUCAGAGUGUUUCAAGCAGGCAUCAUCGCUCUUGCAUGGAUUAGCAUGGGAUAAUGAAAUAGGACCUUGGUGCUAUUUUGUUGGUUUCGAGCACCGAAGUAAUGAUUAACAGGGACAGUCAGGGGCACUCGUAUUCCGCCGAGAGAGGUGAAAUUCUCAGACCAGCGGAAGACGAACCACUGCGAAAGCAUUUGCCAGGGAUGUUUUCACUGAUCAAGAACGAAAGUUAGGGGAUCGAAGACGAUCAGAUACCGUCGUAGUCUUAACCAUAAACCAUGCCGACUAGGGAUUGGAGGAUGUCCACUUUUGACUUCUUCAGCACCUUACGGGAAACUAAAGUCUUUGGGUUCCGGGGGGAGUAUGGUCGCAAGGCUGAAACUUAAAGGAAUUGACGGAAGGGCACCACCAGGAGUGGAGCCUGCGGCUUAAUUUGACUCAACACGGGGAAACUUACC